This 1231-nucleotide ribosomal RNA is filed under the name Salmonella enterica subsp. enterica. RNAcentral describes it as "partial 23S ribosomal RNA". It matches the Rfam family "Bacterial large subunit ribosomal RNA", at positions 628 to 1773 of the family's 2925-position model. Lineage: Bacteria; Pseudomonadati; Pseudomonadota; Gammaproteobacteria; Enterobacterales; Enterobacteriaceae. The record is from RNAcentral.
UUAUAUUCUGUAGCAAGGUUAACCGAAUAGGGGAGCCGGAGGGAAACCGAGUCUUAAUUGGGCGUUAAGUUGCAGGGUAUAGACCCGAAACCCGGUGAUCUAGCCAUGGGCAGGUUGAAGGUUGGGUAACACUAACUGGAGGACCGAACCGACUAAUGUUGAAAAAUUAGCGGAUGACCUGUGGCUGGGGGUGAAAGGCCAAUCAAACCGGGAGAUAGCUGGUUCUCCCCGAAAGCUAUUUAGGUAGCGCCUCGUGAAUUCAUCUCCGGGGGUAGAGCACUGUUUCGGCUAGGGGGCCAUCCCGGCUUACCAACCCGAUGCAAACUGCGAAUACCGGAGAAUGUUAUCACGGGAGACACACGGCGGGUGCUAACGUCCGUCGUGAAGAGGGAAACAACCCAGACCGCCAGCUAAGGUCCCAAAGUCAUGGUUAAGUGGGAAACGAUGUGGGAAGGCCCAGACAGCCAGGAUGUUGGCUUAGAAGCAGCCAUCAUUUAAAGAAAGCGUAAUAGCUCACUGGUCGAGUCGGCCUGCGCGGAAGAUGUAACGGGGCUAAACCAUGCACCGAAGCUGCGGCAGCGAACGUAUCACUUAAAGCGAUUCAGCGGGUUACGAUUAACGGAGCGAAGCGACGUCAAAGCGUAUACAAAGUCGAGUCGGUUUAAGGAUACGUUCGUUGGGUAGGGGAGCGUUCUGUAAGCCUGUGAAGGUGGCCUGUGAGGGUUGCUGGAGGUAUCAGAAGUGCGAAUGCUGACAUAAGUAACGAUAAAGCGGGUGAAAAGCCCGCUCGCCGGAAGACCAAGGGUUCCUGUCCAACGUUAAUCGGGGCAGGGUGAGUCGACCCCUAAGGCGAGGCCGAAAGGCGUAGUCGAUGGGAAACGGGUUAAUAUUCCCGUACUUGGUGUUACUGCGAAGGGGGGACGGAGAAGGCUAUGUUGGCCGGGCGACGGUUGUCCCGGUUUAAGCGUGUAGGUGUGUGUUCCAGGUAAAUCCGGUUCACUUUAACACUGAGGCGUGAUGACGAGGCACUACGGUGCUGAAGCAACAAAUGCCCUGCUUCCAGGAAAAGCCUCUAAGCAUCAGGUAACAUCAAAUCGUACCCCAAACCGACACAGGUGGUCAGGUAGAGAAUACCAAGGCGCUUGAGAGAACUCGGGUGAAGGAACUAGGCAAAAUGGUGCCGUAACUUCGGGAGAAGGCACGCUGACACGUAGGUGAAGUGAUUUACUCA